UUUUUGGAUGUCUCCUCUUCAAGUGCUGGUUUCUCUUCAAAUAAUAGUUCGUUAGGUGUUUCUUCCCGUUUUGGUUCUUCAGGUGCUUCUUCAGUUAUUGGUUUUGCAGCUUUCUCCUCAAUUGUCUCCUCAACCAAUGGUUCUUCAAGCUUCUCUUCCAUUGUUGUUUCUUUAGGUUUCUCUUCAAUUGCCGGUGGUUCAGGUUUUUUCUCAUCCACUGGUUCUUCUGGCUUCUCUGAAACUGCUGUUUCUUCUGAUUUCUCUUCAAUUGCUUGUUCUUCAUGUUUUUUUUCAACUACUGGCUCUUCAGUUUUUUCCUCAACUGAUGCAUAGUCAGCAAUGUCGUUGGUAUUGCAUGGAAUUGCAUUGUCUGUCUUGUCCUUUGAGUUUACAAUUGGCAAAUUAUGCAAGAAAAUUUUAAGUUUCAUUUAGUCUUUCAACAGAUAAACUUAUGUAAAUUCGUUGCACAUAUAAAGCUAAUAUGAUGGAUAGUUUUUAUGACAGUGUUUAUUUGUCACCUUCUCCUGAAGAGCUUCUGUUUCAGGUUCUUCCUCUUCAAUUGCUGGUUUUUCAUCUUUCUUUUCAACAACUAGUUCUUCAGAUGUGUCUUCAACUGUUGGUUCUUCAGGUUUCUCUUCAAGAGCUAGUUCUUCAGGUGUUUCCUCCCCUGCAAGCUCUUCAGGUGUUUCUAUAGUCGCCGGUUCUUCAGGUUUCUCUGUAAUCUCUAGUUCAGGUUUCUCCUCAACUGGUACUUCAGAUUUCUCCUCAAAUGUUGGUUCUUCAGGUUUCUCCUUAAUAGCUGGUACACCAGGUUUCUCUUCAAUGAGUGGUUCUUCAGUUUUUUCUUCAACUGCCGAUUCUUCAGGAUUUUCCUCACUGUCUGGAGAGUGUGCAACAUCAUUAUUGGUAUUGCAUGGGAUUUCACUGCCAGUUUUUUCGUUCGAGUCUACAAUUAGCAUAUUCUGCAAAAAGAAUUUAAUGUUUCACUUAGCCUUUCAAUAAAGAUGCAGAUGUGAAUCAUAGUACAUACAUAACUAACAAAAUGGAUAAACUUUGUGA
This 1059-nucleotide long non-coding RNA is filed under the name Solanum tuberosum (potato). Its description in RNAcentral is "long non-coding RNA (STUB_LNC003301)". The record is from RNAcentral. Lineage: Eukaryota; Viridiplantae; Streptophyta; Magnoliopsida; Solanales; Solanaceae.